RNAcentral lists this ribosomal RNA (558 nucleotides) under uncultured archaeon. RNAcentral's name for it is "bacterial SSU rRNA". It matches the Rfam family "Archaeal small subunit ribosomal RNA", at positions 321 to 879 of the family's 1478-position model. The record is from RNAcentral.
CCCUACGGGGUGCAGCAGGCGCGAACACUUUACAAUGCGGGAAACCGCGAUAAGGGAACCCCGAGUGCCAGCAUCAAAUGUUGGCUGUCCGGAUGAUUAAAAAUCAUUUGUUAGCAAGGGCCGGGCAAGACCGGUGCCAGCCGCCGCGGUAACACCAGCGGCCCGAGUGGUAGCCGUUUUUAUUGGGUCUAAAGGGUCCGUAGCCGGCCUGAUAAGUCCUUUGGGAAAUCUGGCAGCUUAACUGUCAGGCUUCUAAGGGAUACUGUCAGGCUUGGGACCGGAAGAGGUAAGGGGUACUCCAGGGGUAGGAGUGAAAUCUUGUAAUCCCUGGGGGACCAUCUGUGGCGAAGGCGCCUUACCAGAACGGGUCCGACGGUGAGGGACGAAAGCUAGGGGAGCAAACCGGAUUAGAUACCCGGGUAGUCCUAGCUGUAAACGAUGCUCGCUAGGUGUCAGACACGGUGCGACCGUGUUUGGUGCCGCAGGGAAGCCGUUAAGCGAGCCACCUGGGAAGUACGGUCGCAAGGCUGAAACUUAAAGGAAUUGGCGGGGGAGCAC